Molecule: ribosomal RNA, 255 nt
Filed under: uncultured bacterium
Lineage: Bacteria
Description: partial 16S ribosomal RNA
Rfam family: Bacterial small subunit ribosomal RNA
Source: RNAcentral
CAAUAGGUCGAUGGCGACCGGCGCACGGGUGAGUAACACGUAUCCAACCUACCGGUUAUUCCGGGAUAGCCUUUCGAAAGAAAGAUUAAUACCGGAUAGUAUAACGAGAAGGCAUCUUCUUGUUAUUAAAGAAUUUCGAUAACCGAUGGGGAUGCGUUCCAUUAGUUUGUUGGCGGGGUAACGGCCCACCAAGACAUCGAUGGAUAGGGGUUCUGAGAGGAAGGUCCCCCACAUUGGAACUGAGACACGGUCCAA